RNAcentral lists this long non-coding RNA (239 nucleotides) under Mus spicilegus (steppe mouse). RNAcentral's name for it is "lncRNA (ENSMSIG00000015847.1)". Lineage: Eukaryota; Metazoa; Chordata; Mammalia; Rodentia; Muridae. The record is from RNAcentral.
GAGGAAGGCAGCCUGGUUGAAGAAGAAAGGCACACUGCAGACUUGAAUAAGGCUCGCAGCCACAGCAGCAAGAAAGAGACGUCCAGGUCUCACCUAGAUCUCAUCUGAUUCUCCUUCCCGACAGUCAUCCUGUCUUCCAAAUAGCUCUAUGGACUCUGCAUUUCAGUUUUGCUUUUGUUGUUGGAGCGCCUCUCCUCCCCACUCCUAGCUGGAUGUAAGUAAGUUCUGUAGGCCAGGAA